This 197-nucleotide long non-coding RNA is filed under the name Fukomys damarensis (Damara mole-rat). RNAcentral describes it as "lncRNA (ENSFDAG00000029801.1)". Lineage: Eukaryota; Metazoa; Chordata; Mammalia; Rodentia; Bathyergidae. The record is from RNAcentral.
AAGGCACUGACCUAUCUCUUCCACCGAAUUUUAUUAUUCAUCAGUCAUGGUAAAAGAUUCUGUCUCUGUAGAAGACUUGUCUCGACCCUUGUCCUUACAGUGAGCUAUUUCCUGCACUUCCUUCAGUCUCAGGGGCUGCCUGUCCCAGGUUUGUCCCUUAUUGAGAAAGCUCUUUCUCAAUUUUAGCCCUCCCCCCA